AAACGGCCAAGAUCUUCGGAAAUCAGCAGCAAUUUUCUGUUCGUCAACUUCCUUAUGCAAAGCCACUAGCAAUCAAUAUAAGUGAAGUUUCAAACGCCUUCCACGUUCGACUUUCCGCCCAAACACUCGACACACUCCACACUCUUCAUGUCGACCGCCGAGACGUUGGGUCAGGAUCCAAACCCGAACCCGAACUCGAACUCUCCCAAACGAGGCCCGAACAGACCCGACGAAACCCUAGCCUCCGCCCUACCACCCGAUCCGCUUCUCGAAUUCGAUAAAUUCAUCAACACCACCGCCUCCGGAGGUUGCGGGACGCCUGAGCGGUUACGACGCGUGCGCCGAUCUUCUGACGGUGCGUCUGCUUCCUUGGCCUCGGAGAACUCGAGCGGCGCGGAGCCGGUAACGACUACGCCGGCUCGGGAGAACGCGGCGUCUACGGCCGGAUCUCAGCCGCGUAUGUCACUGGAUUGGUUGCCUCCAGGUUGGCUUUUCGAAGAAAGAGUUCGGACCUCCGGUGCCACAGCUGGAUCGGUUGACAGGUAUUAUUUCGAUCCAGUUUCAGGCCGUCGAUUCCGGUCAAAGAAUGAGGUUUUUUACUUUUUAGAAACAGGAACUAAACGUAAAAAGGGGAAACUAACGGAGAACUCUGAUGCUGAAACAGUGGGCUCUGGGGGACAGAAACAAAAGAAGUCUGCCACGAAGGCAAAGAGUUCUGCUUUGAAAUUUGAUUUUCUUAAUGUGCCUGAGAAGGUCAUCUGGGUUCUCACAGAUUCCUCCCAGGGUGCCUGGGCGCCUUUUAUUGGUGAUGAAAAGGUGUCUAAAUCUAUUGUGCAAGAAUGGGCUGCUGCGUUCACAGCCCUCACCUCCAGACUUGAUUCCCAGAGGAAGUUUUGAAGGGCAUUUUCCAAACUCUCCAUUGUAUCAUCAAGAGUAUGAUCCCAUACUGACUAAUACAGAUAUGUGUUUCAACCCUGGAGUAGUGCUCGGCAAUUUUACCGAUGCUUGAAGUGUGUUGCAUGCUUUUACAAAGAAGUCAAGAUCACAACUAAAGCAUGGAUUCAAGUUUUGCAUAGACCAUUGAUCUUCACGCUUUGAUAUGAGGUUUAUGUGUUUUCCUGUUAUGUGUUUCAUUGAUCUGUGGCUGAUUGGAUUCUGCUGAUUUAGGAACUAAAUUAAAUUGGUUGAGUGGGGCUUGGCUGACUUCUUUCUUCAACUGGUGUUCAUCCUUUAGAGUGAGAGAAACUUGGAUGAAACUGCUAUGAUGCUUCCACAGAUCUCAUUUCCUUAGUAUUUUUUUUUUUAAUAAGAACUAAUUUAAGGAUUGGUUGGGACUGCCAUAUCCACAUUAUGAAAAAGUGGUAGGAUAAAAAUGUAGUAUAUCAUUACUCUUCCUAAAUAUUACAAGCAUAAAUCAUGAUCAAUCACUCAUUGUUUUC
Molecule: RNA transcript, 1439 nt
Organism: Corylus avellana
Lineage: Eukaryota; Viridiplantae; Streptophyta; Magnoliopsida; Fagales; Betulaceae
Gene name: methyl-CpG-binding domain-containing protein 5
Source: RefSeq, a predicted model, not a curated record